GCUGGCGGCAGGCCUAACACAUGCAAGUCGAGCGGCCGUAGCAAUACGGCAGCGGCAGACGGGAGAGUAACACGUGGGAACGCGCCCUUCGGUUCGGAAUAACUCAGGGAAACUUGGGCUAAUACCGGAUACGCCCUUACGGGGAAAGAUUUAUUGCCGAAGGAACGGCCCGCGUCCGAUUAGCUUGUUGGUGAGGUAACGGCUCACCAAGGCGACGAUCGGUAGCUGGUCUGAGAGGAUGACCAGCCUCACUGGGACUGAGACACGGCCCAGACUCCUACGGGAGGCAGCAGUGGGGAAUAUUGGACAAUGGGCGCAAGCCUGAUCCAGCCAUGCCGCGUGAGUGAUGAAGGCCCUAGGGUUGUAAAGCUCUUUCAGCGGGGAAGAUAAUGACGGUACCCGCAGAAGAAGCCCCGGCUAACUUCGUGCCAGCAGCCGCGGUAAUACGAAGGGGGCUAGCGUUGCUCGGAAUUACUGGGCGUAAAGCGCACGUAGGCGGAUUGUUAAGUCGGGGGUGAAAUCCUGGAGCUCAACUCCAGAACUGCCUUCGAUACUGGCGAUCUCGAGUUCGGGAGAGGUGAGUGGAACUGCGAGUGUAGAGGUGAAAUUCGUAGAUAUUCGCAAGAACACCA
Molecule: ribosomal RNA, 632 nt
Filed under: uncultured soil bacterium
Lineage: Bacteria
Description: bacterial SSU rRNA
Rfam family: Bacterial small subunit ribosomal RNA
Source: RNAcentral